Long non-coding RNA from Oncorhynchus kisutch (coho salmon), 3212 nucleotides. RefSeq lists it as uncharacterized. The record is from RefSeq and is a predicted model, not a curated record. The transcript is spliced from 2 exons. NCBI's taxonomy places the organism in Eukaryota, Metazoa, Chordata, Actinopteri, Salmoniformes, Salmonidae.
AGGUAAUAUGUCCAUGUAGGUAGAUGUUUUUGAACCUUGUGGUUUAGUUGGACACAUAAAACCCUUUGAGAUGAAUCAUCUCUUCUUUCCACUGCUUUUUUAACUCAAUGUGAGAAGAAAACAGAGUCAUUAUGAUGAUGUCAUUUAAUGUGACUCUGACUCCCACCACAGGCAGCAGUCUGUCUGUAAGUGUAACUCAUGGUUCAUUCAUGUGUCUGUUUAAUGUGCUCAUGAUUUGAGUUGAUGAUCGGGCACAAAGUGGCGUGGGGUGUCCGGUGACCAUGAGGUGAUGCUCUGUAGACAAUUCCUGUUCCUGUUGUCAGCGAGGUCCUCUUCCUGCUGUCAGCGAGGUCCUCUUCCUGCUCAGCAAGGUCCUCUUCCUGCUCAGCAAGGUCCUCUUCCUGCUCAGCAAGGUCCUCUUCCUGUUGUCAGUGAGGUCCUCUUCCUGCUCAGCAAGGUCCUCUUCCUGCUGUCAGCGAGGUCCUCUUCCUGCUCAGCAAGGUCCUCUUCCUGCUCAGCAAGGUCCUCUUCCUGUUGUCAGCGAGGUCCUCUUCCUGAUGUCAGUGAGGUCCUCUUCCUGCUGUCGGCAAGUUCCUCUUCCUGCUGUCAGCAAGUUCCUGUUCAUGCUGUCAGUGAGGUCCACUUCCUGCUGUCAGCGAGCUCCACUUCCUUCUGUCAGCGAGGUCCUCUUCCUUCUGUCAGCAAGGUCCUGUUCAUGCUGUCAGUGAGGUCCACUUCCUGCUGUCAACGAGCUCCACUUCCUUCUGUCAGCGAGGUCCUCUUCCUUCUGUCAGCGAGGUCCACUUCCUGCUGUCAGCGAGGUCCUCUUCCUUCUGUCAGCGAGAUCCACUUCCUGCUGUCAGCGAGGUCCUCUUCCUGCUGUCAGCGAGGUCCUCUUCCUGCUGUCAGCAAGGUCCUGUUCCUGCUGUCAGCGAGGUCCUCUUCCUGGUGUCAGUGAGGUCCACUUCCUGCUGUCAGCGAGGUCCACUUCCUGCUGUCAGCGAGGUCCUCUUCCUGCUGUCAGUGAGGUCCUCUUCCGGCUGUCAGCAAGUUCCUCUUCCUGGUGUCAGUGAGGUCCUCUUCCUUCUGUCAGCGAGGUCCACUUCCUGCUGUCAGCGAGGUCCUCUUCCUGCUGUCAGCGAGGUCCUCUUCCUGCUGUCAGUGAGGUCCUCUUCCUGCUGUCAGUGAGGUCCUCAUCCUGCUGUCAGCGAGGUCCUCUUCCUGUUCCUGCAAAGUGGUGAAAGAAAGAAAAACAGGGCAUGUCUUUUGCUCACUCCCCCCCCCCCCAUCUCCAUCCUCCCCCCAGUCUGUGUGACCUUGCACCAGUCUCUGUGACCUUGGAGAGCGAGCGACUGUAGUACCGUUAAGCAUUCUGGGACAUAGCAAACCAGACAGUCAUAUUGAGGGCACAGAGAUGGAGAGAUAGAGGUUUGGGGGAAGACUGGAGAAAGAAGGGAGGCGCAAACAGGCAACGUAUGUGCUGUGUGUGUCGUCCUGUCUAUGUAUGUGUUGAAGGGAUACUGUCAAAUGAAAUAUACAGUAAUAGAAUGAAAUGCAGGGAGUGGCGAACUCGUGAUACGAGUGGUCUUUGAGAUGAAGAAAUCAAUAGCUCUGAAGGAGAUCUGUGUCUAGGCAUGAUAGUGUCUUAAUAAGGGUUAAUAUCUCAUUGGCUCUCACUAACGUUCUAUAUGGGAACAGGCUGACUACCUCAGCUCACGGAAAUCAUGGCAACCACCAGAGAAUCUGAAACACACUUUAUUGACUUGGAUUAGUAAUCAAAUUGAAAAGUGUUCAAUUGCAAAUAGCAUGUGUAAGGUAAGGGAUUUAGGAUAUAUUUUUUUUGUUCAGGUUUGUGUGCCAGUGACUGUGGAACACAAAGUAGCUUGGUUGAGCUACUUUGUGUUAAUUGCCUAUUUGAAAAUGUAUCCAUCUCACAAAAAAGGUUUAAGUGUGCAGUAAGAAAGUGUUGAUAUCAGCUAUAAAUAAACACUUCUUAACAUCAACACACUCUGAAGCUCAAAUGACAUUUAGCUCCAUGUUAAAACAACAUCCACCUCCAUAAUAAAACAACAACCACCUCCAUAUUAAAACAACAUCCACCUCCAUAUUAAAACAACAUCCACCUCCAUAAUAAAACAACAACCACCUCCAUAAUAAAACAACAACCACCUCCAUAUUAAAACAACAACCACCUCCAUAUUAAAACAACAUCCACCUCCAUAUUAAAACAACAACCACCUCCAUAAUAAAACAACAACCACCUCCAUAAUAAAACAACAUCCACCUCCAUAUUAAAACAACAUCCACCUCCAUAAUAAAACAACAUCCACCUCCAUAAUAAAACAACAACCACCUCCAUAUUAAAACAACAACCACCUCCAUAAUAAAACAACAUCCACCUCCAUAAUAAAACAACAUCCACCUCCAUAUUAAAACAACAUCCACCUCCAUAAUAAAACAACAACCACCUCCAUAUUAAAACAACAUCCACCUCCAUAAUAAAACAACAACCACCUCCAUAUUAAAACAACAUCCACCUCCAUAAUAAAACAACAUCCACCUCCAUAUUAAAACAACAUCCACCUCCAUAAUAAAACAACAUCCACCUCCAUAAUAAAACAACAACCACCUCCAUAUUAAAACAACAUCCACCUCCAUAAUAAAACAACAACCACCUCCAUAUUAAAACAACAACCACCUCCAUAUUAAAACAACAUCCACCUCCAUAAUAAAACAACAUCCACCUCCAUAAUAAAACAACAACCACCUCCAUAUUAAAACAACAACCACCUCCAUAAUAAAACAACAACCACCUCCAUAUUAAAACAACAUCCACCUCCAUAAUAAAACAACAACCACCUCCAUAUUAAAACAACAUCCACCUCCAUAAUAAAACAACAACCACCUCCAUAUUAAAACAACAUCCACCUCCAUAUUAAAACAACAUCCACCUCCAUAUUAAAACAACAUCCACCUCCAUAUUAAAACAACAUCCACCUCCAUAAUAAACAACAACCACCUCCAUAUUAAAACAACAUCCACCUCCAUAUUAAAACAACAUCCACCUCCAUAAUAAAACAACAACCACCUCCAUAAUAAAACAACAACUACCUCCAUAUUAAAACAACAUCCACCUCCAUAUUAAAACAACAUCCACCUCCAUAUUAAAACAACAACCACCUCCAUAAUAAAACAACAACCACCUCCAUAUU